GGCGGCCGCGGCCUUGGCGGCCUUCCGCUCCUCCUUGGCGACGCGGACGGCCUCGCGCUGGCGUCGUCCUUGCGCUUCUGCUCCGCUCGCUGGAUAUCCAUCUCGUACAGGUACUCGCGCCGCAGCUGCUUGACCUGCUUGGCGUAGUCCUUGCGGAGGCGGUCGAGGCGGAUCUCCGCCUCCCUCGGGUCGCUCGUCGGUGGGGGGUUCUUCCAGCUGCCAAGGAAGUCGGAGGGGGUGGCGAAGUCGUGGGGGGGAGGCGGGGGGUACCGGCGGCGGGCUAAGGUUUGGUGGGAGCGGAGCGGAUGGAGGAGCGGUGGCGGAGGAGGGGCGGUGAGGGCGCGGCGGAGAACCCUAGCUGUCGCCAUGAGGCGUUGGGGGGCAAAAUCAGCGGCGCUCCGACGCAGCGGUGAAGAAGG
This 419-nucleotide unclassified non-coding RNA is filed under the name Hevea brasiliensis (rubber tree). Lineage: Eukaryota; Viridiplantae; Streptophyta; Magnoliopsida; Malpighiales; Euphorbiaceae. The record is from RNAcentral.